UGCAAGUCGAGGGGUAGAGGCCUUCGGGCCUUGAGACCGGCGCACGGGUGCGUAACGCGUAUGCAAUCUGCCUUCCACAGAGGGAUAGCCCAGAGAAAUUUGGAUUAAUACCUCAUAGCAUCAUGACCCGGCAUCGGGAUAUGAUUAAAGUCACAACGGUGGAAGAUGAGCAUGCGUCCCAUUAGCUAGUUGGUAAGGUAACGGCUUACCAAGGCUACGAUGGGUAGGGGUCCUGAGAGGGAGAUCCCCCACACUGGUACUGAGACACGGACCAGACUCCUACGGGAGGCAGCAGUGAGGAAUAUUGGUCAAUGGGCGCAAGCCUGAACCAGCCAUGCCGCGUGCAGGAUGACGGUCCUAUGGAUUGUAAACUGCUUUUGUACGGGAAGAAACCCUCCUACGUGUAGGAGCUUGACGGUACCGUAAGAAUAAGGAUCGGCUAACUCCGUGCCAGCAGCCGCGGUAAUACGGAGGAUCCAAGCGUUAUCCGGAAUCAUUGGGUUUAAAGGGUCUGUAGGCGGUCUUGUAAGUCAGUGGUGAAAGCCCAUCGCUCAACGGUGGAACGGCCAUUGAUACUGCUGGACUUGAAUUAUUGGGAAGCAACUAGAAUAUGUAGUGUAGCGGUGAAAUGCUUAGAGAUUACAUGGAAUACCAAUUGCGAAGGCAGGUUGCUACCAAUGGAUUGACGCUGAUGGACGAAAGCGUGCGUAGCGAACAGGAUUAGAUACCCUGGUAGUCCACGCCGUACACGAUGGAUACUAGCUGUUGGGCGCAAGUUCAGUGGCUAAGCGAAAGUGAUAAGUAUCCCACCUGGGGAGUACGAACGCAAGUUUGACACUCAAAGGAAUUGACGGGGGCCCGCACAAGCGGUGGA
This 874-nucleotide ribosomal RNA is filed under the name Flavobacterium sp. Its description in RNAcentral is "bacterial SSU rRNA". It matches the Rfam family "Bacterial small subunit ribosomal RNA", at positions 56 to 936 of the family's 1533-position model. The record is from RNAcentral. Lineage: Bacteria; Pseudomonadati; Bacteroidota; Flavobacteriia; Flavobacteriales; Flavobacteriaceae.